This is a long non-coding RNA of Raphanus sativus (radish), 620 nucleotides long. RefSeq lists it as uncharacterized. Lineage: Eukaryota; Viridiplantae; Streptophyta; Magnoliopsida; Brassicales; Brassicaceae. The transcript has 3 exons. The record is from RefSeq and is a predicted model, not a curated record.
CAAUCCAAGCCGCCUCCUCCCUUAUUGCCAUCCACGAACGUGGUCUCUCCACAUCUCCUUCUCCUUCUUAAUGGUUUUCUCUUGGUGUAAAAGGAGAAGACAACACCCGUGAGUCACCACCAUAGUCUACCUUUUCUCAUCAUCGGGAAGCCACGUCCUCGCCACCAAAAUCAUUGCAAGCCACCACGGUCGAGACUUGGGCAAGUGAGGCCACAAUCUCAUUCUUUCUUGUGCACCAAGCUUCUUUCUCUCCGCCUUUGAGUUAUCGUUAUCAUCACCACCGGUUAUGGAGUUAAGUUGUGAGCCACCCGAGUCUAAGAUCCAUCAUUUCUACUCAAGCCGUGAAGGAAUUUAGGUGUGAAUUAUUUGGUAAAUAAUUCAGCUAAAGCCUAGACUGAGAGACAUAUUCGUUUGGGUAUUUCCGGAUCAAUAGUCGAUAUUGGCUAAGGUGAGACAUACGAGUAUAUGAUACAUGGACAGAUUGGUGCUACUGGACUUUUUAUUCGAAUUAUUAUUUGGGUUUUGGGUGAGUGGAUUUGUGCUUAUGGGCUAUUGUGUUAUGAGUUAUUGUUGUUGGCCCAUUUUUCUCGAGAUAGGAGGUGACGGGUGUUACACACAGA